This 490-nucleotide ribosomal RNA is filed under the name uncultured bacterium. RNAcentral's name for it is "partial 16S ribosomal RNA". It matches the Rfam family "Bacterial small subunit ribosomal RNA", at positions 28 to 507 of the family's 1533-position model. The record is from RNAcentral.
GAUGAACGCUAGCGGCAGGCCUAAUACAUGCAAGUCGAACGGGAUCCAGAUCAAAGCUUGCUUUGGUUUGGUGAGAGUGGCGUACGGGUGCGUAACGCGUGAGCAACCUACCCUUGUCAGGGGGAUAGCCCGGCGAAAGUCGGAUUAAUACCGCAUGACAUCAUUGAGAGGCAUCUUUCGAUGAUCAAAGAUUUAUCGGACAAGGAUGGGCUCGCGUGACAUUAGCUAGUUGGUAAGGUAACGGCUUACCAAGGCUACGAUGUCUAGGGGCUCUGAGAGGGGAAUCCCCCACACUGGUACUGAGACACGGACCAGACUCCUACGGGAGGCAGCAGUAAGGAAUAUUGGUCAAUGGACGGAAGUCUGAACCAGCCAUGCCGCGUGCAGGAAGACGGCCCUAUGGGUUGUAAACUGCUUUUAUACGGGAACAAACGUCGGUACGUGUACCGGUCUGAGUGUACCGUAAGAAUAAGAAUCGGCUAACUCCGUG